UUCCAGACUCCUACGGGAGGCAGCAGUGGGGAAUAUUGCACAAUGGGGGAAACCCUGAUGCAGCAACGCCGCGUGAGUGAAGAAGUCCUUCGUGAUGUAAAGCUCUAUCAGCAGGGAAGAAAAUGACGGUACCUGAGUAAGAAGCCCCGGCUAACUACGUGCCAGCAGCCGCGGUAAUACGUAGGGGGCAAGCGUUAUCCGGAUUUACUGGGUGUAAAGGGGGCGCAGACGGCAGCGCAAGCCAGAUGUGAAAGCCCGGGGCUCAACCCCGGGACUGCAUUUGGAACUGCGUGGCUUGAGUGUCGGAGAGGCAGGCGGAAUUCCUAGUGUAGCGGUGAAAUGCGUAGAUAUUAGGAGGAACACCGGUGGCGAAGGCGGCCUGCUGGACUGCGACUGACGUUGAGGCCCGAAAGCGUGGGGAGCAAACAGGAUUAGAUACCCCCGUA
Molecule: ribosomal RNA, 446 nt
Filed under: uncultured bacterium
Lineage: Bacteria
Description: bacterial SSU rRNA
Rfam family: Bacterial small subunit ribosomal RNA
Source: RNAcentral